GGCUCGGUGGUGUAGUUGGUUAUCACGUCAGUCUAACAUUCGAUUAGCACACUGAAGGUCCCGAGUUCAAACCUCGGCUGAGUCA
This is a non-coding RNA of Aaosphaeria arxii CBS 175.79, 85 nucleotides long. The record is from the annotation of a RefSeq genome assembly. NCBI's taxonomy places the organism in Eukaryota, Fungi, Ascomycota, Dothideomycetes, Pleosporales.